UACGGAGGGAGCUAGCGUUGUUCGGAAUUACUGGGCGUAAAGCGUGCGCAGGCGGCUUUGCAAGACAGAUGUGAAAUCCCCGGGCUCAACCUGGGAACUGCAUUUGUGACUGCAAGGCCAGAGUACGGUAGAGGGGGAUGGAAUUCCGCGUGUAGCAGUGAAAUGCGUAGAUAUGCGGAGGAACACCGAUGGCGAAGGCAAUCCCCUGGACCUGUACUGACGCUCAUGCACGAAAGCGUGGGGAGCAAACAGG
This 253-nucleotide ribosomal RNA is filed under the name uncultured bacterium. Its description in RNAcentral is "partial 16S ribosomal RNA". It matches the Rfam family "Bacterial small subunit ribosomal RNA", at positions 524 to 776 of the family's 1533-position model. The record is from RNAcentral.